Molecule: non-coding RNA, 184 nt
Filed under: Archangium sp.
Lineage: Bacteria; Pseudomonadati; Myxococcota; Myxococcia; Myxococcales; Archangiaceae
Description: 6S RNA
Rfam family: 6S / SsrS RNA
About the family: E. coli 6S RNA was the first non coding RNA to be sequenced, but its function was unknown until recently. It consists of 184 nucleotides that fold into an extended hairpin structure with a large single-stranded internal bulge.
Source: RNAcentral
UGUUCCCUGCGGGGCGCGUGAUGAGCAGCAAACGCUCGAACCGAUACCAACCAAACGGGGGUCGUUUCGGGUUCUGGGUGCAUGCCUUCCUUCGGGGAGGAAGCCGAAAGAGCUCGAACUCGAUUCCCACCUGAACCUCUCGGUUCAGUGGAAGCUGCUCACACGGCUCAUUGGCGGGGAACGU